GCCGGGCGUGGUGGCGUGUGCCCGUAGUCCCAGCUACUUGGGAGGCUGAGGUAGGAGAAUUGCUUGAAUCCGGGAGGCGGAGGUUGCUGUGAGCCGAGAUUGUGCCACUGCACUCCACCCUGGGUGACAGAGCAAGAUUCCAUCUCAA
Molecule: non-coding RNA, 148 nt
Filed under: Pan troglodytes (chimpanzee)
Lineage: Eukaryota; Metazoa; Chordata; Mammalia; Primates; Hominidae
Source: Rfam by way of RNAcentral